Molecule: ribosomal RNA, 155 nt
Filed under: Fusarium solani
Lineage: Eukaryota; Fungi; Ascomycota; Sordariomycetes; Hypocreales; Nectriaceae
Description: 5.8S ribosomal RNA
Rfam family: 5.8S ribosomal RNA
About the family: 5.8S ribosomal RNA (5.8S rRNA) is a component of the large subunit of the eukaryotic ribosome. It is transcribed by RNA polymerase I as part of the 45S precursor that also contains 18S and 28S rRNA. Functionally, it is thought that 5.8S rRNA may be involved in ribosome translocation.
Source: RNAcentral
UUUCAACAACGGAUCUCUUGGCUCUGGCAUCGAUGAAGAACGCAGCGAAAUGCGAUAAGUAAUGUGAAUUGCAGAAUUCAGUGAAUCAUCGAAUCUUUGAACGAACAUUGCGCCCGCCAGUAUUCUGGCGGGCAUGCCUGUUCGAGCGUCAUUAC